GCCCAUCUCCUGGCUAUCCCUCUCACAGUAGAAGCAGGAGCUGCCCAUCUGUGGAUGAGCCUUGAAGGAUACAUGGAACACCCUGCUGCAAUCAAUGCCUUUCUUGCCAAAGGAACAACAGAGACCCUUGACAUCUGUGAGCAAACAAAGGCUUAUCCACGCUACAGCUAUAACCUGGGCUUUCACACACAGACUGAAGGAACAUAUUUGGUCAUCACCAGGAAAAGAAGCUGGAAGUGCUUUACUGGAGCUGUUUGUUUGGCAUUAGUAAGAUUAAACGUCAAAGGUUGAAAAGAGAAUGUAAAUGAACUGGGCACAAUCCUAACACUGGCUAAAGCUGCAGGAAGACCCCCAUUCAGACUCAGGAAUUUCUUUCUGAUGUACACCUUCCCUGUAGUCUCCCAGCUGAGGUCCAGAGAUGGGAAAAAAAUGUAGCAUGAAUAGCUGGGAGAAGCUCUAAGACAGACUUUGGACUGCCCAUGUUGAACCAGAAUGGCAGAUGUCCCUUAAGGUAUCAUCUCAACCACCUUCAUGACAGAAGGUCAUGUAGUUAAGCAUAUGCUGAGAAAAAAGUCAACACGAGAAGCUAAUUCAGGUGAGAGAAGGAAUCUGAAGGAGGCCACGUCAACUGCAGGAGCAAAAUGGGGUGCUCUGACACAGAAUGAAGAUGGGAGAUAGGAGGAACACGCUGAUUUAAAGGAAGCAUUGCUGAAGAUCAGCAUUCCCAGGGGUGAAAACCAAUAUGAGGACCUAAUGGAUGCGCUGCCAUUUGGCAAUAAAGACCAUUUUCCUGCCCAGG
Molecule: non-coding RNA, 799 nt
Organism: Coturnix japonica (Japanese quail)
Lineage: Eukaryota; Metazoa; Chordata; Aves; Galliformes; Phasianidae
Source: RefSeq, a predicted model, not a curated record